Non-coding RNA from Chelonoidis abingdonii (Abingdon island giant tortoise), 100 nucleotides. The record is from RefSeq and is a predicted model, not a curated record. Lineage: Eukaryota; Metazoa; Chordata; Testudines; Testudinidae.
UUUCACACGGCUAGCUUGACCUACACACAGCUUUGAAAGUCUGCCCUUCCCUGGUUCUUUUUUUCCCGCCAAGCAUCUGUGUGUUUGUGUGUGCUGUUUC